UUUAUAAAAUACUUGCUCCUGUGAAACUUGUCUCUGUGACACUAAUAUCGUUCAAAAAACACUACUUGUCUCUGUGAGAACUUGUCUCUGUGAAACAUCCCCAAAGAUAUUAUUAAACGAUCCUUCCCAAGUGUUGAUUUAGUCAAAAUGAGAAAUGAUGGUGAAUGGACCACUGAAGCCGAAAUAUUCUCGACAGCUGCAUUCUUGGAGACCGACAUUUACGUCUACCAUCCACAGAGUGGUGGGUAUGAAUGGCUGAAACAUUCCAAAAAUUUUAUAUUGAAUUGUAAUUUGGAAUGUGAUGAUAAGUUGUCAAGAGCGCUUUAUAUAGUCAAUAAAAGCGGACAACAUUUUGAAGUUGCGUAUUCGGUUGUAACUCACUGAAUACGCACUACAACUACCCCAAAGUCAACAUCACCGAUCCUGAAAUCUAACAGGAUGGAGGAAAAGAUGUACCAUCAACGACAACCUGGCAAUAUUGUGGAAUGAAGCUGGCACCAAAUGGGAUUAUUCUACAAAAAAUGCAAUAAAUGGGAAGAUUUGAGGGAAGACGAAGAGGAAGAGAAUGAGGGAGAGAUACAAGAAGGAGUCUGACUUUAAAUAUCUUAAUUUCAAAUAUCGCUCAUACAAAACUCCAAUAAACACAAUGGAGGACUAUCGACAAAUUGAAAGAAAAGCAGAAGGAAUUGAAAAAUGAAGAAGAAAAAACUGACCAAAUGUGAGAAAUAGAAAAUAUCAUGAAUAGAAUCUCGGCAAAUCAAAAAUUCAAUCAACACCCUCAAAGGUAAUAUGAAAAAAUAUAUUCUACUCUUAACUCAAUAAUAUUAUACCAGUAUUCUUGAAAUAACUAAUUUUUCUUGUUGCAGAUUUUGUUAUGAAUGCUGUGAAAACGUUAAAAAACGAGUAUAACAAAGAAAAUGGAGAAAAGACAUCUAUGAAAAAUCUCCACUUAUUUGAGUCUUAAAUCAACACCUCUAAGAUUGUGUUCUAGGAUCAAGAUGGUAUCAGGACUAAGAAAGGCUUAGAAAGUUGAAGAUACAUGUAUAUAUGAUGAAGUUUAGGUCAAGGACAUCUGGAUAAAUUUUUGCCAAUUGAAUAAUACUCAAGUCAACACCCUGAGGAGGUAGUCUGAUGAAAAUAUGAACAUUUUUUUCAACUAUAUGAUUCCAACUUAUAUUUUUUAAUCUUAUUUUUACUAAUAUUUCUACUAAAUAAACUUCUAAUUGUUCGAUUGAUGAAUUUUUUUAUUUUUUCAGUACCCUAUCAACAUCAACAGACUGAAUCAAACAUGUGUAGAUAGUGCAUGGAAUGAACAUAGCAGAAAUGAGCUACAGUGAGUCGGGUGGCGCCGAUGUCAUUGAGCAGUUAAUACAGAGCUAGCUGGGGCACUCUUACUACUUAGCCUUAGCAUGUUCUCCAUAUGUUCAAAUCUAUUAUUAAAUUUCAGCUGCAUUUUACAAUAGUAUGUAAUCAAGAAUAACUAGUUUAAAAUGAUUUUCAUGUAAUAAUGAUGAAUAUAAAAAACAACAGUAUCACAAGGUUAUUCUGUUUCAUCUGAAUUUUUAUCUGCAUGUGUAUUUAUCCUUCCAGCAUAAUAGGAUACAAAUACUAUAGUUAACCGCACAAAAAUAGUCUGAUGGAAAUUGGAAUGGCUGAGUACCUUCUCACCCCCGAACCCAUAGACGUUUACAAGUCAAAAUAUGUAUUAGAAAAAUAUUUAUCAAUUUGACAACUUCUUCAAUAAUAAACAUAAUUUGCACUCAUCUUUUCCAUCAGACUAUUCUCGUGCGGUUGACUAUAGUGACCUAUGGCAUUAAAUAAAAAUUGUCUGAGAAUACUAAUAAUAAUUUAUUGAUUCUUCUCCACUUUCACAACAAUUGAAAAAACACAAAAAAUUUCUAUACAUGAUAAAAAUAUAAAAAAGGUCAAAUGGCACACAAGACUUUCGUCUGAUCGUGAGCCUAAGGAAAAUAAAAACAAGAAAUUACAAAAAAGGUGAAAAACAACUACGGUAAGCAAAUGAAGAAGAACAAGAGGUUUGAAAAACUAAAGAAACUAUAGUAAGGUUAAGAAAAACACUAAGGGCCGUUUGCAUACGGUAGUCAAAGCUUAAAGGAAAUUGAAUCAGUUGGUGGCUUAAACUCAAAAUGAAACACAUUAUAACAAACACGACUUGAUACGGAUUUAAUCCACUUGAAAAUGAAAUUCAGUUUGAACUGUGACUGUUCAAACGGCACUAAGUGUCAGUUGCACAAAAGCCGGUUAAAUUUUAAACGUGAUUAAUUUUACGAGAAUCAAUCAGAGAAGCCUUCUUUUCUAAUAGGCCUUCUCUGAUUGGUUCUCUUGAAGUUAAUCACGGUCAAAGUUUAAUCGGCUUCUGUGCAACCGGGCCUAACUUUCCAAAUUCAUCUGAUUUCGAAGCUUCUCUUCAAUUAGAUAGAUAAUAAAGUUAUAACUGUGUUACAACUCUGAAAAUAAUGUCAUAACUCUCAUAACACUGUUAAAACAUAGAAAUCAGAGGAUAUGUAUUGAACAAUACCUUUGGUUUUAUUACGGAAAUCGAUAUUGAGCUUUUAUUUGCAUGAAUCAAUAUACUUCAUAGGUAGCGAAUAGCAAGAUGGACCCUGUUGUCAUUAUAUUUUCAAAUGGCUGCAAGGGACCAUUCCGUUAUGCACUACAAUUCUGGGUACAAGUGGAUCUUCGAGCAAUAACCGUUCCCUUUUAGGUUAUCUUACUGUUGGUUAUGGAUACUCGGCAUUCUGUGCGACGUCAUAGUUCCUAAGAAUAUUCUGGUGACGUCAUAGUGACUAAGAAUAUCACUGCAUGUGUAUGCGCGUGCGUACGUUGCCCUGUGACGUAACGUACUAAGACUAUUUCAUACUA
Molecule: long non-coding RNA, 2883 nt
Organism: Nilaparvata lugens (brown planthopper)
Lineage: Eukaryota; Metazoa; Arthropoda; Insecta; Hemiptera; Delphacidae
Exons: 4
Source: RefSeq, a predicted model, not a curated record